CUUUCUUUACCUUCACUUUGGCUGGCUUAGCCUUCUCCUUCACAGGUUCUGCUUUAGCCUUCUCCUUCACAGGUUCUGGCUUAGCUUUCUCCUUUACAGCUUCUGGCUUAGCCUUCUCCUUUACAGCUUCUGGCUUACCCUUCUUUACAGCUUCUGGCUUAGUCUUCUUUACAGGGGUGGGUUCUGCUUUAGCCUUCUCCUUUGCAGGUUCUGCUUUAGCCUUCUCCUUCACAGGUUCUGCUUUAGCCUUCUCCUUCACAGGUUCUGCUUUAGCCUUCUCCUUCACAGCUUCUGGCUUAGUCUUCUUUACAGGGGUGGGUUCUGCUUUAGCCUUCUCCUUUGCAGGGUCUGGUUUAGCUUCAUCCUUUACAGGUGCAGGUUCUGGCUUAGCCUUCCUUACAGGGGUGGGUUCUGCUUUAGCCUUCUCCUUUGCAGGUUCUGCUUUAGCCUUCUCCUUCACAGCUUCUGGCUUAGUCUUCUUUACAGGGGUGGGUUCUGCUUUAGCCUUCUCCUUUGCAGGUUCUGGUUUAGCUUCAUCCUUUACAGGUGCAGGUUCUGGCUUAGCCUUCCUUACAGGGGUGGGUUCUGCUUUAGCCUUCUCCUUUGCAGGUUCUGCUUUAGCCUUCUCCUUCACAGCUUCUGGCUUAGUCUUCUUUACAGGGGUGGGUUCUGCUUUAGCCUUCUCCUUUGCAGGUUCUGGUUUAGCUUCAUCCUUUACAGGUGCAGGUUCUGGCUUAGCCUUCCUUACAGGGGUGGGUUCUGCUUUAGCCUUCUCCUUUGCAGGUUCUGCUUUAGCCUUCUCCUUCACAGGGGUGGGUUCUAGCUUAGCAUUCUCCUUCACAGGUACAGGCUUAGCCUUUUCUUUCAAAGGUGCAGCCUUGUCUUCCUCCUUCACAGGUACAGGCUUAGCCUUUUCUUUCAAAGGUGCAGCCUUGUCUUCCUCCUUCACAGGUACAGGCUUAGCUUUUUCUUUCAAAGGUGCAGCCUUGUCUUCCUCCUUCACAGGAACAGGCUUAGCUUUUUCUUUAGUUGGUUCUGGUCUAGCUUUCGCUUUAGGGAGCUCUGGCUUAACUUUCUCCUUAGCAGGCUCUGGCUUGGCUUUUUCCUUUACAGGCUCAGGCUUUGCUUUCUCCUUCAUGGUUUCUGGUUUAGCUUUUUCCUUAACAGCUUCUGGCUUUACCUUCUCUUUAGCAGGUUCUUUUUUAGCUUUGUCCUUCACAGGUUCUGCCUCAGCUUUCUCCUUCAUGGGUACUGGCUUAGCUUUUUCUUUUGCAGGUGCAGGUUCUGGUUUAGUCUUCUCUACUGCUGGUUCUGGCUCAGUUUUCUCCUUCAGAGCUUCUUUCUUAGCCUUUUCUUUCAGGGUCUUCAUUUUCUCCUUCACUGGUUCUGGCUUAACCUCCUCCCUUGUGGGCACUGGCUUUGCAGUUUCUUUUACAGUUAUUUUCUUAGCGGUUUCCUUUCCAGGUUCAAGCUUAAGUUCUUCCUUUUUGGGCUUAGGCUCAGCUUUCUCCUUCACAGGUUCUGGUGUAGCCUUCUCUUUUACAAGUUCUUCCUUAGCUCUCUCCUUUUUGGGCUCUGGCUUUGCCUUCUCUGCAAUGGGCUUUGGUUUGGCCUUGUCCUUAGGAGAUUCUGGCCUAGGUUUCUCCUCCUUGAAUUCUACCAUAGCUUCUUCCUUAUCGGUAGUAGGUUCUGGUUUAGCCUUCUCCUUUACGGAUUCUAGCUUGGCUUUCUGCUUUUCUGGUUCUGGCUUAGUCUUCUCCGUAAUGGGUUCUUGCUUAGGUUUCUCUUUUUCAGAUUUUGGCUUAGCUUUUUCCUUUACCGAUGCAGGCUCUGGCUUAGCUUUUACCUUUACCGAUGCAGGCUCUGGCUUAGCUUGCACCUUUACCGAUGCAGGCUCUGGCUUAGGUUCUUCUUUUACAGAUGCAGGCUCUGGCUUAGCUUUUUCCUUUACCGAUGCAGGCUCUGGCUUAGCUUGCACCUUUACCGAUGCAGGCUCUGGCUUAGCUUUUUCCUUUACCGAUGCAGGCUCUGGCUUAGCUUUUUCCUUUACCGAUGCAGGCUCUGGCUUAGCUUGCACCUUUACCGAUGCAGGCUCUGGCUUAGCUUUUUCCUUUACCGAUGCAGGCUUAGGUUCUUCUUUUACAGGUUCUGGUUUAUCUUUUUCCUUCACAGGUACAGGUGGAGGUGCAGGUUCUGAAUU
Molecule: long non-coding RNA, 2200 nt
Organism: Clupea harengus (Atlantic herring)
Lineage: Eukaryota; Metazoa; Chordata; Actinopteri; Clupeiformes; Clupeidae
Source: Ensembl